CCUACGGGCGGCAGCAGUGAGGAAUAUUGGUCAAUGGACGAGAGUCUGAACCAGCCAAGUAGCGUGAAGGAUGACUGCCCUAUGGGUUGUAAACUUCGUUUAUAUGGGAAUAAAACAGGGUAUGCAUACCCUCUUGUAUGUACCAUAUGAAUAAGGAUCGGCUAACUCCGUGCCAGCAGCCGCGGUAAUACGGAGGAUCCGAGCGUUAUCCGGAUUGAUUGGGUUUAAAGGGAGCGUAGGUGGAUUGUUAAGUCAGUUGUGAAAGUUGGCGGCUCAACCGUAAAAUGGCAGUUGAAACUGGCAGUCUGGAGUACAGUAGAGGUGGGCGGAAUUCGUGGUGUAGCGGUGAAAUGCUUAGAUAUCACGAAGAACUCCGAUUGCGAAGGCAGCUCACUGGACUGCAACUGACACUGAUGCUCGAAAGUGUGGGUAUCAAACAGGAUUAGAUACCCGAGUAGUC
Molecule: ribosomal RNA, 460 nt
Filed under: uncultured bacterium
Lineage: Bacteria
Description: partial 16S ribosomal RNA
Rfam family: Bacterial small subunit ribosomal RNA
Source: RNAcentral